This 73-nucleotide transfer RNA is filed under the name Marinithermus hydrothermalis DSM 14884. It matches the Rfam family "tRNA". Rfam says of the family: Transfer RNA (tRNA) molecules are approximately 80 nucleotides in length. Their secondary structure includes four short double-helical elements and three loops (D, anti-codon, and T loops). Lineage: Bacteria; Thermotogati; Deinococcota; Deinococci; Thermales; Thermaceae. The record is from Rfam by way of RNAcentral.
GGGGCCGUAGCUCAGUUGGGAGAGCGCGUGAAUCGCACUCACGAGGUCAGGGGUUCAAAUCCCCUCGGCUCCA